AAUAUUGGACAAUGGGCGCAAGCCUGAUCCAGCAAUGCCGCGUGUGUGAAGAAGGCCUUCGGGUUGUAAAGCACUUUAAGUUGGGAGGAAAAGCUGAGUGUUAAUAGCAUUUAGUGUUGACGUUACCAACAGAAUAAGCACCGGCUAACUCCGUGCCAGCAGCCGCGGUAAUACGGAGGGUGCAAGCGUUAAUCGGAAUUACUGGGCGUAAAGCGCGCGUAGGCGGUUAUUUAAGUCAGAUGUGAAAGCCCCGGGCUUAACCUGGGAAUGGCAUUUGAGACUGGAUGGCUAGAGUAUGGUAGAGGUGAGUGGAAUUUCAGGUGUAGCGGUGAAAUGCGUAGAGAUCUGAAGGAACAUCAGUGGCGAAGGCGACUCACUGGGCCAUUACUGACGCUGAGGUGCGAAAGCGUGGGUAGCAAACAGG
Molecule: ribosomal RNA, 424 nt
Filed under: uncultured bacterium
Lineage: Bacteria
Description: bacterial SSU rRNA
Rfam family: Bacterial small subunit ribosomal RNA
Source: RNAcentral